This 427-nucleotide ribosomal RNA is filed under the name uncultured bacterium. RNAcentral's name for it is "partial 16S ribosomal RNA". It matches the Rfam family "Bacterial small subunit ribosomal RNA", at positions 355 to 774 of the family's 1533-position model. The record is from RNAcentral.
UGGGGAAUAUUGCACAAUGGGCGCAAGCCUGAUGCAGCCAUGCCGCGUGUAUGAAGAAGGCCUUCGGGUUGUAAAGUACUUUCAGCGGGGAGGAAGGUGUUGUGGUUAAUAACCACAGCAAUUGACGUUACCCGCAGAAGAAGCACCGGCUAACUCCGUGCCAGCAGCCGCGGUAAUACGGAGGGUGCAAGCGUUAAUCGGAAUUACUGGGCGUAAAGCGCACGCAGGCGGUCUGUCAAGUCGGAUGUGAAAUCCCCGGGCUCAACCUGGGAACUGCAUCCGAAACUGGCAUGCUUGAGUCUUGUAGAGGGGGGUAGAAUUCCAGGUGUAGCGGUGAAAUGCGUAGAGAUCUGGAGGAAUACCGGUGGCGAAGGCGGCCCCCUGGACAAAGACUGACGCUCAGGUGCGAAAGCGUGGGGAGCAAACA